This 2144-nucleotide long non-coding RNA is filed under the name Octopus vulgaris (common octopus). Lineage: Eukaryota; Metazoa; Mollusca; Cephalopoda; Octopoda; Octopodidae. The record is from RNAcentral.
AUUUAUUAUUAUUAUUAUCAUUAUUAUUUUUUUCCCUUCUUUCACUGGUACUUAAUUUAUCAACCCUGUAAGGAUGAAAGGCAAAGUUGACCUCAGUGGAAUUUGAACUCAGAACAUAGCAUGCAUGUGUGUGUGUUUUGUUGCAGUCAAAAAAAUACUUUUUCUGAGAAUAUUUUGCAUCUGGCAUGUUAAUGAUUCUGCCAGCUCACUGCCUUAACCAACUGUCUAAUAACAAUAAUAUACAUAUGACAGAACCAGUGCAUGUAUUUAUUAUUAGCUUAAUGACCCUCUUGAGACACAAUUAAAUGUUGAUUAGAUUUGUCUGAGAUUAUUAGGCCCUGAAAAACACUGCCAGACUUGUAUUUUUUCAUUUGGUUUUCCAAGUAAGCUUGGCUUUGGUAAUUUUAAUUUAUAGAUGAAAAAAUAGUAAUGACACAGUUUGUUGUUGUAAUAAUAAUAAUAAUAAUAAUAAUAAAAAUAAUAAUAAUAAAAAUAUAGCUUUUAGUCAGUUCUGAUCAGUUAAACCUUUGAUUGAAGGCAUUCAAGGUAGGAUGGUCAUGGCUUGAAUGUUUUUGAUCAUGAUCUGGGUAAAACAGAGUCGACCUAGGGUUAAACAAUAGCAACCAGCUCAAGUCUUUUCUCUGUUUAGUAAAUCUAAUAUGAUAUGAAUGAAAGAAUAUUUGCUUCAAUUAUGAAUAAUAAAUAGACCAGAUUGAUAAAAAAAAACAAAAAAACAGUAAAGUGUUGUAGUGAGAGAAGGAGAGGAGAACAAAAAUAAAACAAAACACACAUAUAUAUAUAUACAUAUAUAUAUACAUAUAUAGUUGAAAUUUACAGAAAAACAAAAGAUGAAGACAGGUGUAUAAACAACAAACAGGUGUAUUAGUUUAGCGCUCGGGAAGUUGAAAUAAUCUUUUACAUUUCGAGCAUAUGCUCUUCAACAGAAGGGAACACAAGGAAAUAAACAGAGAGAGAAUAAAAAAACUUUUGGAACUAGCGGUCAAUCAUGGUAGCACAUACACAUACACAUAUAUCUACAUAUAUAAACAAGUGAUAGAGAGAUUACAUAAGACCUCAAAGUCCCUUGUAUUCUUUCCUGCUACAUGGUGUACUACUACUGAGAGCAACAAGCUAUGAUACUUGUACAUUUGUUUAAAGACUUCCCAAACCUAUCCCCACUUUUUUUCAAUUUUGCUGGGUCCCAAAGAACUCAUUUUGUCUGGUGAUAGGUAGUGUGAAUUAGAUUUAAAGUGCACAAAGCUCUUUAAAUACAAUAAGCCAUCUUAUCCAGUGCUCUGACAAUUCCAUCUGUCCACUGUCAAGCACUCCUCCACAUGGCCCAGUCCUUGCUGCAGCAUGGGAGCUUGCUUACCCCAAUGCCCUAGUAGGGCAUUCCAUGUACAGGUCAAACGAGAAGGGCGAGUCUAAUAUGGACCACCUCUUCCCACAGGUGAAAAUGUGUUUGUGUAGGGUCAACGCUCCUUCUGAGGAAAAAGUAAAGUUAUGGAAGCAUCAAUGACAAUUCAAAAUGAAAAAGACCUGAGAGAUGAAAGCCUUCUCUCAGAGACGCAUAUGAUGCAGGGUAGCAAAAUCUGAAAGGAAGCUGCAAGCCCAGAAAAAACAAGCAAGGGUCCAACUGCAGAGAAGCAGAAUGAUGGCUUAAAGAAGAAAAACUGUUGAUGGCCUUUGCUCGGUAGGGAGUGAUGGCACUCAGAAUUCCUCAAACUUUACACUCAGAAUUCCUCAAACUUUAAAGAAUGAAAGGCAAAUUAACUUUGGAAGGAUCCAAGAGAGAGAAAGAGAGAGCAAAGAGAGAGCAAAAAGGCAGACAAAUAUGACAAGGCUCUAUCUGAUUGCCUUGUAAUAUCUAUCUAACACAUCUGUCUGUCUGUCUGUCUAUCUAUCUAUCUAUACGGACAGACAGACAGCUAGAUAGAUAGACAAGCUGACAGCUAGAUAGAUAGGUAGACAGAUAGCUAGAUAGAUAGGUAGACAGGCAGAUAGAUAGAUAGCUAGAUAGAUAGGUAGACAGACAGGUAGACAGCUAGCUAGAUAGGUAGACAGACAGACAGACAGCUAGCUAGAUAGGUAGACAGACAGACAGACAGCUAGAUAGAUAGGUAGACAGACAGCUAGAUAGAUAG